CCUGUUUUUAAGGUCUUUCCCCUACGUGGGGAAAGACCUUACUGUUUUUCUAAUGUUUUUUUUUCCAACAUUUUUUCUAAAUGCCCUCCCCCCGUUUCUUUUGAUGUCAUCAAGACCAAAUAUGGACCAUCGGUAGACCUCAUCAUGAAGUAUUACCAGAUGAGGCUGUGUAGGAUUUCAUCAUCCCCUUUAGAAGUUAUCUCCCUUUUAUUGGUUUUUUUCGACAUGCCCCCCCCCCCUCGUUGUUUUUGAAGAUAUCAUGACCUUAUUUGGACAAAAGUUAGAUCUCAUCAUGAUGUGUUACCAUAUGAUGCUGCUAAGGAUUUCAUCAUUCUCUAUGAGAGUUAUGUCCCCUUGAAGCAAUUUCUUUCUUUUACAUUUUUCUCAAAAAGUAUUCAAGAUAGAAUCCAUUUGAAAACGGCAACAUGUACAAGACCAGAUGGCAAUGUUAAUUAACAUAUACAAUCAUUUUGUUGUUCACCCUUAUAAGGAGUUAUUUCCCUUGAAAAAAUAUACACAAUUUUUGAAAAAUUGUAUCUCAAGAACCGGAAGUCGUAAAGACUUGGGACCUACACCAAUAAUCUUAAGUUCAUGUGACCUUUAAUUUGCACCCAAGGUCAAAGGUCACCGAGUGCAAAAAAAAAUUACGCUGCAAUUUCAAGCUUUCAUAUUAAGAAAACGAUAAGAGUUUGCUGCAUACUUACAGCGUAUAAAAUGUUCCUCUCGACGAGCUCUACAUUUUAUACACUGAGCUCAAAAGUGUCCGACUGUCUGUUCAAAAGUUACGACGGGAUGAUUCUUAAAAGUAUAGUAUUGUGUGUAUAUCUUUUUAAAGGUAACAGAUAUCAACCUACUAUAAACUGCAAAGAUGAUCAGUAA
RNAcentral lists this long non-coding RNA (879 nucleotides) under Mytilus galloprovincialis (Mediterranean mussel). The record is from RNAcentral. Lineage: Eukaryota; Metazoa; Mollusca; Bivalvia; Mytilida; Mytilidae.